Lolium perenne is the source of this 2531-nucleotide non-coding RNA. Lineage: Eukaryota; Viridiplantae; Streptophyta; Magnoliopsida; Poales; Poaceae. The record is from RefSeq and is a predicted model, not a curated record.
UUUCCACCGCCAAUCGCUCUCCCCAAUCCCCACAGCCACCACUAGCGCCUUCCCCCAGUCUCCUCAGCCAUCUUCGUGCGCCUUCCGUCCCGCUCGCGCCGCCGCCACAAGCUGCAGCGUUGCCGGGAGGAGCACUCCGUCCCCUACAGCCUGCUGGCUCAGCCGCAUCUCCCGAUGCCAAAUCCUCUCUCUCCAUCCCUUUUGGUUCUUGAUUUUGUUUUCUUUGAGAUUUCCUUUUGCUUUUCCUGAGAUUUGUUUGUUCUUGUGCUCUAUUUCAUAAUAGAUUUGUUCUGUAUUUUCGUUUUUUGAUUUUUCCGUCCGGAUACUCUUUAGUUUUUUUAUCAGAUUUAUGUUUAUCUGAGCCCCCUGCCCUGCAUCCUCGUGCCUUUUUUCCAGGGACUUUUUCCAGGGACUCACCUUCUUGGUGCUCAUCGUUAGUUUGAUGGUGGUGUACUGACGCCAGUGAGAACUAGGAGGAGGAAGAGGACACAAAGAGAGAGAUGGAGCGGCAAGACUACAAGAUCCCAGAUGCAAGUCGAGAUAAGAGAGAAGGGGCCGGUUCAGAUUAGCACUCCACAUCCUAUGGCAGUUGGCACGCUAGGACAUGGGAAAGCUCAGCUCAGCCGGUAGCCAUGAUGCACCCCCCUUCCCAAAUUUUCAAUGAGGACGAGCUUCCGGGUUCCGCAGCUUGAAUGGUGUGGAGCUCCAUCACUUUUGCUGAAUGGCUCACCAAACCAUUGUUUCUACAGCCUGUGAUGUUGAUCGAGAUUCCAGUCACAAUGAUGAGUUCUCUGACCAUGCCAGCAUGGCAAAAGUGACAUUGUUUGAGGAAACAUUGCGUGAGUGAAGUGAAGUUGGAUGAGGGGAUUCGGUGUGUCAUAUGCGCCUUUGCCCUGGAGCUGGGUGGGCCACGGCUCAAUUUGGCCCUCAGUAGCUUCACCGGUGCUCCCAAACAACGUCGUGAGGACGAGCUUCCGGGUUCCGCAGCUUGAAUGGUGUGGAGCUCCAUCACUUUUGCUGAAUGGCUCACCAAACCAUUGUUUCUACAGCCUGUGAUGUUGAUCGAGAAGCAUAAAUGGAGAUAAGUUCACCUCAUAGUGCCCUUGAAAAACUAAGAUUGCAGCUGCUGAUUCCAGUCACAAUGAUGAGUUCUCUGACCAUGCCAGCAUGGCAAAAGUGACAUUGUUUGAGGAAACAUUGCGUGAGUGAAGUGAAGUUGGAUGAGGGGAUUCGGUGUGUCAUAUGCGCAUCUGCCCUGGAGCUGGGUGGGCCACGGCUCAAUUUGGCCCUCAGUAGCUUCGCCGGUGCUCCCAAACAACGUCGGUGACGUCUUAAAAUGGGAGCUUGACUAUCGCAUCCAUGUUGCAUCUGUACAGGUUUUCAAGAAUUUAUCCGUUUGUGUUUCUAUCAUAUUACUUGCAAUAAAUUGACACUGGGACAAGAUUUUGUAAUUCGUUUGGUUGCUUCUGUACGGCAAUCCUUAUUUUCAAGGUCAUGGGGCUCAGUGGUCAGCAUGGCCGUCGCCGUCAUCGGUUCUACUUGUCUUCAGGCCUGAAGUUUGGCUCAGAUUUGGAAACAAGACCAAAACAAUUCAUAUACAUUCGAAACUUAUGAAGAUAAAGCAUGGAAAGUAUAAGCUAUAUGUACAGAACAUUCAUUGGAGAACAUUUCCAUGCUUGUGAACAGACGGAAAGUACAAUACCUCAAUGUCAUUUUCCCUCCUAUUCCUACCAAUGCCCAAGGUGGGUGGUGAUGUUUCUAUCCCUGGAGGCGUUGCUGAUCUCAAGUUACAAACAUAGAUAAAUUGUUGACUCUAUUCAUGUGUCUGUAAUCUCCAUGAAAGUAUCCCCGCUCAUUGGUUUAUUUCCAUAUUGUUAGUUCUUCAUGUGUGUAUGGACAAUGUUGCCAGCAAUAUUGCAAAUAGUUUAGAUGAUAUCCCGAAUUAAGGUUCGCUUGAAAUUUUCAAUGUGCACCUCAUCUCUGUUCUUUUAUGGUGGGGUAUCUGUUCUUCUGUACAUAGACGAAUAGGAUCUAAUCAAAUGUUUAAUUGGAGGUAUUUAUUGGUGGACUAACGAAAGAGAUGUUCAAGUUUUAGCCCUGUUGAAAGGAUGAAAGAAUUCAGUUUGGAGCCCUGUUGAAAGGAUGAAAGGAUUGACAGGUUAUAGCGCUGUUGAAAGCAUGAAAGGAUUCGGGUUGUGUCCCUUUGAAAGGAUGAAAGUAUUCAGGUUGUAGCCCUAUUCUCUGCUUCGUGAACUGAUGAAAGGCUGCCCAAGCAGCACACGAUUCAAGUAGUGGCUCAAGUUGGCGAUUUAUAGAUCUAUAGCUAAGUUGCAUUGUGCGGUGAACAUGAAGAGUUAAGAAACUAUUGAAAUGACAUGGUUUGGUAGCGUGCUAUACCGAAUUGUCCCAUAGGCAGCCUAUGUAGAUGUUGCUUUUUGUUGUUCCUUUCUCACUUGUGUUGCUCUUGCUAGAACCAUGGAGUGUUUGUGUGCCUUGCCUAAAUUUUAUCAUAUCGACUUCGUUUUUGUAAA